RNAcentral lists this ribosomal RNA (1372 nucleotides) under uncultured bacterium. RNAcentral's name for it is "bacterial SSU rRNA". It matches the Rfam family "Bacterial small subunit ribosomal RNA", at positions 28 to 1381 of the family's 1533-position model. The record is from RNAcentral.
GAUGAACGCUGGCGGCGUGCCUAAUACAUGCAAGUCGAGCGAACGGACGAGAAGCUUGCUUCUCUGAUGUUAGCGGCGGACGGGUGAGUAACACGUGGAUAACCUGCCUAUAAGACUGGGAUAACUUCGGGAAACCGGAGCUAAUACCGGAUAAUGUUAUGAACCGCAUGGUUCAAAAGUGAAAGACGGUCUUGCUGUCACUUAUAGAUGGAUCCGCGCUGCAUUAGCUAGUUGGUAAGGUAACGGCUUACCAAGGCAACGAUGCAUAGCCGACCUGAGAGGGUGAUCGGCCACACUGGAACUGAGACACGGUCCAGACUCCUACGGGAGGCAGCAGUAGGGAAUCUUCCGCAAUGGGCGAAAGCCUGACGGAGCAACGCCGCGUGAGUGAUGAAGGUCUUCGGAUCGUAAAACUCUGUUAUUAGGGAAGAACAUAUGUGUAAGUAACUGUGCACAUCUUGACGGUACCUAAUCAGAAAGCCACGGCUAACUACGUGCCAGCAGCCGCGGUAAUACGUAGGUGGCAAGCGUUAUCCGGAAUUAUUGGGCGUAAAGCGCGCGUAGGCGGUUUUUUAAGUCUGAUGUGAAAGCCCACGGCUCAACCGUGGAGGGUCAUUGGAAACUGGAAAACUUGAGUGCAGAAGAGGAAAGUGGAAUUCCAUGUGUAGCGGUGAAAUGCGCAGAGAUAUGGAGGAACACCAGUGGCGAAGGCGACUUUCUGGUCUGUAACUGACGCUGAUGUGCGAAAGCGUGGGGAUCAAACAGGAUUAGAUACCCUGGUAGUCCACGCCGUAAACGAUGAGUGCUAAGUGUUAGGGGGUUUCCGCCCCUUAGUGCUGCAGCUAACGCAUUAAGCACUCCGCCUGGGGAGUACGACCGCAAGGUUGAAACUCAAAGGAAUUGACGGGGACCCGCACAAGCGGUGGAGCAUGUGGUUUAAUUCGAAGCAACGCGAAGAACCUUACCAAAUCUUGACAUCCUUUGACAACUCUAGAGAUAGAGCUUUCCCCUUCGGGGGACAAAGUGACAGGUGGUGCAUGGUUGUCGUCAGCUCGUGUCGUGAGAUGUUGGGUUAAGUCCCGCAACGAGCGCAACCCUUAAGCUUAGUUGCCAUCAUUAAGUUGGGCACUCUAAGUUGACUGCCGGUGACAAACCGGAGGAAGGUGGGGAUGACGUCAAAUCAUCAUGCCCCUUAUGAUUUGGGCUACACACGUGCUACAAUGGACAAUACAAAGGGCAGCGAAACCGCGAGGUCAAGCAAAUCCCAUAAAGUUGUUCUCAGUUCGGAUUGUAGUCUGCAACUCGACUACAUGAAGCUGGAAUCGCUAGUAAUCGUAGAUCAGCAUGCUACGGUGAAUACGUUCCCGGGUCU